Molecule: long non-coding RNA, 4214 nt
Organism: Nomascus leucogenys (northern white-cheeked gibbon)
Lineage: Eukaryota; Metazoa; Chordata; Mammalia; Primates; Hylobatidae
Exons: 3
Source: RefSeq, a predicted model, not a curated record
CUUACAUUCAGAGAAACACCACAGUUCUGGCACCAGUAAUGAAGGCGCCAUCUGGCCCCUCUUGGGCUCCUUGGCUUGAAUUCCUGGGGUCAUUGUUACACUUGGCACUCCCUAGGCGAAGGAGAACAAUAAGAGGCAGGUAAAGCUGGAGCCCGUAACAGGAAGAAACGUGAGCAUUGAAAACCCUCCCUUUGGAUGAACUGACCACAGCUGGACAACACCAGUGCCAGGCCAGGGUUCCAAGCACUGCAGAGAUGAAGCACCUUCUUCCAGCAGCUCCUGGAGUUCUCAGAAGCCAGAGUGGACUUGUUCCUCCAUUUUAUUUGAUGAGAGUUCUAAAUACAGUUGGGCAAGGCUUCGGAUUUUAGUGGGAGAUGGCCAGAGGCGAAGCAACGAUAAAAGCAGCUGAAUAGGCAAGUGUGUGGUCUGCUUUCCAUUUCUAUUGGAGUUCCUAUUUUAUUUAUGUAUUUAUUUAUUAUGUAUUUUUUUUUAUUUUAUUUAUAUUCCUUAUUUAUUUAUUUAUUUAUUCUCUAUUUUUGGCUUAACAACAGGAACGCGCUUGGCGAUUUCCUUUUUUAAGAACUACAGGAGACACUCCUGAGGUCACGUAUUUGAUUAAUGUUGAGAUGUUUGCUCAGCCUCCCUUAUCAAGGGGAGGGCACCUGUGUGGGGUGUGGAGCAUACUUUGCAGAUGCCAAGCGCCCAGCAGCACCCAACGGUGUCUCUCAAGACGUGAUCCAGAGACAGAGGCUCAUUCCCCCACCAUGGCACCCCAAUCCCGGGAGUCUGGGCCUGCCUGGGUGCGGGUGAUAGGCAGCCAGCCCACAGAGGGACAGGCAAAGUAUAGCCAGAGGAAUUUGAAUGCAUCCCCAUUCCACCACCCUUGUAAUAUGGAAUGAUCUCCCCAUCUUUCCUUCCUGAGCUGGGAGGUGGGUUCGAGUGAGCACUGCCAGAUACUAUGGUAGGGCAUACUCAGAGAAGGCCGGUGGGGAGAGGCUGGAUUUUUCAUUUCUUUCUUGUCUUUCUUUUCUUUCUUGUCCUAGCUCUCCCUCUCUGAGCUAGGUGCAAGCUCCUGACAUAGGAAGCGAUCCCUCCUUGCCACAGAUAACCUAUGUAGCCAGGUGCUGCCAAGCAGCUUCCACCUGGAGGAGGGCAGCUGCUCUGAGCAUGACCAGUAGCUGUGGAUGGCAUUGUCAAGGCAUCUGGAGGAAGCUGCAGCCCCACAAAGCCCCUGACCCCUCUGCCUUUCCCUCUGCUGGAUCCUCUUCCUCCCUCUUUCCCUGCUGUCUCCUGUAGAGAACUUUCUACCAGUCCACACACCAACCUAGGUGCAGCCCCCCUGCCUGACUCCCUCCCUGACUAUCAUAACCAUGGCCAGCAGUAUCUCCACAUCUCUGCCCAGAUCCCCCUGGGAAGGCUUAUCCCAGGCCCCAGGUUUGGGGCAAUGCCCAGUGGCAUUGGAUGGGGUCCCCCUUGAAAAGAAGCACAGAAAGACUGAGCCAUCAACAUAGUCCCUUCCACCACCUGCCACUGUCCCCAAAAUUCCCCACACCAGAAGUGUUUAGACUGUCUAAGGACAAUACUAUCUAGGGUUUGAGGACCACCCCACAGCAAAAACACUAGAAAGCUAGCUCCAAAAUGCAAAUCCCAGGCCAUGCCCCUCACCUCCUGAGGCAGCAUCCCUGGGUAUAGAUCUCAGAAAUCUGCAGUUUUAGUACAAAGGCCCCCUAAACUUAGAGAAACAGCCUGAAUUCACAUGGGCACACCUUACCUGAGCAGGCAAUACAGUGACAAGGGUGGGAACAGAGAGGACGAGACCUGAUACUGGGAAGGCCUGACAGAGGGAAGGAAGGAAAGCACUCAGGCUAAGGGCUCUGGGAAACCCACUCUUCCCCCUAGGGAGCUGCUGUUCCCUGAGGGGCCUGGGGGGCCUCUUCCUGAAGCCCCAGCUAUUCAAAUUACACCUUUUCUUAUUAGGACAUCAGGAGGUGUUGCCCCUUAGCUUUCCAUUCUAACCUCCUCAAUAUAGGGGACUUGCUGGUGUCGAGGACAGAGCGGAGGCCUCAAGGGUAUGUGCAGUCUAGGUGGCCUUGGUGGAGGGGCAGCACUCUACAUUUGGGAGGGGACUUCUUGCUGAACUCCUUCCAGUGGGUCAAAUGGGGUAGACUGAGGGAGAGGUGUGGGAGGUGAUAAAGAACCAGGUAGGGACUGGAUGGAUCCGGGGAGUUCACAGGGCUGCCUCGGAGGCAGAGGGCACCGAGACAGAGAAGACCCUGGGGGGCACCAAAGCGAUCCCUGCAGUCUAUGAGUGUAGGAUCAGAGAGGGUUAAGGGCCAGAAGCCCCUGUGUGUUUAGGACUGUGGCACCAUGGGUGCAUCCCCUGAGAAGCAAAGCUCAGGCAGGAGCAGCAGUGGGCAAAGAGCCUGGUGGUGCAGGUGCAGGCCCUGUAGAGGAGACAGUGACAACACCCAGCCCAGGCCGGCUCUCUCUGCCUGUCCCCUGAGUCCCCUGGCACCUCUCCACAUCUGCUCAGCCCUCCCAGCUAACCUAGCACUUGUAGAUGGUUGAUAUGAUUUGGAUCUGUGUCCUCAAAUCUCAUGUUGAAUUGUAAUCCCCAGCGUUGGAGGUGGGGCCUGGUGGGAGGUGAUUUGAUCAUGGGGGUGAAUCCUUCAUGAAUGGCUUAGCUUUAUCCCCUUAAUGCUGUUCUUGUGAUAGUGAGUGAAUUCUUGCAAUAUCUGGUUGUUUAAAAGUGUGUAGCACUUCCCCCCGACCCUCUUUUGUUCCUAUUCCAACUGUGUGAAGUGCUCACUCCCCCUUUGCCUUCCGCUAUAACUGUAAGUUUCCUGAGGCCGUCCCAGAAGCGGAGCAGGUGUCAGCAUCAUGCUUUCUGUAUAGCCUGAGGAACUAGAAGCCAAUUAAACCUCAUUUCUUUAAAAAUUACCCAGUCUGAGAUAUUUCUUUUCUUUUCUUUGAGACAGGGUCUGGCUCUGUCACCCAGGCUAGCAUAGUGGCAUGAUCACAGCUUGCUGCAACCUCUGCCUCCAAGGCUCAAGUGAUCCUCCCACCUCAGCCUCACAAGUCACUGGGACCACAGGCACGUACCACCACACCCAGCUAGUGUUUGCAUUGUUUGUAGAGACAGGGUUUCACCAUGUUGCACAGGCUGGUCUCAAACUCCUGAGCUCAUUCGAUUCUCCUGUCUUGGCCUCCCAAAGUGCUGGGAUUACAGGUUUGAGCCACUGCACCCAUCCUAGGUAUUUCUCUAUAUCAGUGCAAGACAAACUAAUACAAAGGUGAAUCCAUCUGCAGAUCCAGACUCCACAGGAAGCCAGCAAGUGUGAUCGCGGGCUCUGCUGCAUUUCGGGGCGGUUCUAUACUUGGCAUGUGCAUGCUUUCCUCCGCCUAGCAUAUUAGCUUGCUGGGGCUACUAGAACAAAGUACCACAAACUGAGUGGCUUAAUACAACUGAAAUGCAUUCUCUCACACUUCUAGUGGCCAAAGUGCAAGAUCAAAGUUUUGGCAGGGUUGGCUCCUUCUGGACACUCAGAGGGAGAGUCUGCCCUGUGUCUCUCCCCUGGCUUCUCCUGGUUGCUGGCAACCCUUGGCAUUUUUUGCUUAUAAAUGUAUCCCUCUUAUCUCAGCCUCUACUGUCACGUGACCUUCUUCCCUGUGCAUCUGUCUCUUGUCCUCUUCUUCUAAGGACAGCAGUCAUAUUGGAUUAAGGGCCCAGCCACUCCAGUAUGACCUCCGCUUAACUUGAUGGCAUUCAAAGCCAUCAAGUUUGGAAACAAGGUCACAUUCCCAGGGACCGGAGGCUAGGACUUGAAGAUAUCUUUUGGGAGGAGACACCUGCAACAUUUGGAUUGGAGAAGACUCAGUGACCUUCUGGGAUGUCAUUUACCCUCCCUGGGCUACAGCUUCCUUGUUUGUAGAGGAAGAGGUUAAAUUAAACAAUCUCUUCCAGGUCUCAUGGUCUUCGAAUCUGUUUUCUCCUCUGCUGUUUUCUCGGCUUCCUUCUCCCGAUGGAAAUAGGGGGCCAAUGUAUUUCCCCUGCCUCCCCUCCCUCUCAGGCCUGCUUUCAAGUCUUAGAGCUGGCAAGGGCUCUGUGCAAUAUUCCAGGUCCUACCCUCAAUUUCUGGUGGAACAACAGAAUAAGCGGUCUCUGCGUGCACACAAAUCCCUUCAGCUCCGUCUGGGCCCGGCAACAGCAGACC